RNAcentral lists this ribosomal RNA (475 nucleotides) under uncultured organism. RNAcentral describes it as "partial 16S ribosomal RNA". It matches the Rfam family "Bacterial small subunit ribosomal RNA", at positions 330 to 801 of the family's 1533-position model. The record is from RNAcentral.
CGUACACUCCUGCGGGAGGCAGCAGUGAGGAAUAUUGGACAAUGGGUGGAAGCCUGAUCCAGCCAUCCCGCGUGCAGGAAGACGGCCCUAUGGGUUGUAAACUGCUUUUAUCUGGGGAUAAACCUACUUACGUGUAAGUAGCUGAAGGUACCAGAAGAAUAAGCACCGGCUAACUCCGUGCCAGCAGCCGCGGUAAUACGGAGGGUGCAAGCGUUAUCCGGAUUUAUUGGGUUUAAAGGGUCCGUAGGCGGACUGAUAAGUCAGUGGUGAAAUCCGACAGCUUAACUGUCGAACUGCCAUUGAUACUGUUAGUCUUGAGUAAGGUUGAAGUGGCUGGAAUAAGUAGUGUAGCGGUGAAAUGCAUAGAUAUUACUUAGAACACCAAUUGCGAAGGCAGGUCACUAAGUCUUAACUGACGCUGAUGGACGAAAGCGUGGGGAGCGAACAGGAUUAGAAACCCCGGUAGUCCCAUGAU